UGCCAGCAGCCGCGGUAAUACGGAGGGUGCGAGCGUUAAUCGGAAUUACUGGGCGUAAAGCGCGCGUAGGCGGCUUUGUAAGUCGGAUGUGAAAGCCCCGGGCUUAACCUGGGAAUUGCAUUCGAUACUGCAUGGCUAGAGUAUGGUAGAGGGAAGUGGAAUUCCGGGUGUAGCGGUGAAAUGCGUAGAUAUCCGGAGGAACACCAGUGGCGAAGGCGACUUCCUGGGCUAAAACUGACGCUGAGGUGCGAAAGCCAGGGGAGCAAACAGGAUUAGAUA
Molecule: ribosomal RNA, 279 nt
Filed under: uncultured bacterium
Lineage: Bacteria
Description: partial 16S ribosomal RNA
Rfam family: Bacterial small subunit ribosomal RNA
Source: RNAcentral